Molecule: long non-coding RNA, 864 nt
Organism: Phyllostomus discolor (pale spear-nosed bat)
Lineage: Eukaryota; Metazoa; Chordata; Mammalia; Chiroptera; Phyllostomidae
Exons: 2
Source: RefSeq, a predicted model, not a curated record
CAAUGCACUUUAUGUCUUUACUCUGUAUGCACUCUUCAGUCUUUAAAAAUUCUGAAGAACAGCAUGGUGUUACUGCACUGCUCAUUAAACCACUGUUUCUCCGCUUCAGAGUCCACUCAUACAGUGCACUCUGUUGUGAUGCUCUGCAAGCCUCCUUUCUCCUUGGCCAGCAGGCUCCUUGUUCGUCUGGGCCAGGAGAGGGCACUAGAGGGAGAGCUAGAAGGCUGGAACUGGGGAAAGGGACUCCUAGUGCCCUAGCUCUCAGCGUCACCCUGACGAUGAUGUUUCAUCCCAGCAGCUCGGUUUGUUUUGGUCGCAGCAGCUCAUUCCGCUUUCCUGAUGGACCCGUGAGCCAGCUUCGUCAUAUCUCUUCAAAGACCAGCACCAUCAGCUUGGGAUGUCCUCUUGCCCCUUCCUCCUAGCCUCUAAAUAAACAGCAGGACAGCCAGUGCAGAGGAAGAAGCAGGGAAUCAAGCUGAGGAUGUUCCAUCUUGUGUGUGUGACCAGUCUCCACAAGUAGCUACUGGAUCGAUUGCCUCCUGAAUCAUACGGGAACCACGCAGAAAAGCAGCCUGAAGUCUUUUCUGAACAGUGUAGAAGCACUUGAAGAGUCUGAAAAACCACAUCGUCAGUGUCCACUGACCAGUGGACAAGAAGGUGGCCAAGUGGGAAUGACUUGGCACUGAUUCUUUAACAAUUCUGGAAGCUGCAAUGAGGAAUAAAUCCUCUUGUUCCUGCUUGGGAUCUGUUUGCAUGUUUGCACUUGCUCUAAUGUUAAUCUGCAUAAUAUGCUGGGCAGAAUAACCUCUUUUGCUUUCCUUUUGUCAAAAAACAUUGAGGUCCUAUUUUGCACUCAUAAAACAA